AAACAAUUAAAACAUUAAAUUUUAAACAGACCCAAGGCUAUAAAUCACUUUGUCUGAGCGGCGAAGAAUUAAAUUGAUAUAACUACAUUACAGCUGUUAUAUAGCAGACAAUAAAGGGUAUUCUCUUUAAAUACGUGUAUUGAAAAUGUUAAAACACAAUCUUAAAAACGGUGUACACAUGUCACUGUUUAGAGAAGAAAAUUAAUAAGUAAACUAAGCUAUAAUUUAGUUUUCAGAAAGUUAAAAGUGGUGUAGACACAUGACUGGGUGAGUCAUAAAUUGGCACAUUGUUGGAGAAUCCGCAGUUCAAAAAAUUUUGUAGACAGGUUUUAUUGUUUUUAUAAAUAUCUUGACACAUUGUUAUACCACACCAG
Molecule: long non-coding RNA, 374 nt
Organism: Aethina tumida (small hive beetle)
Lineage: Eukaryota; Metazoa; Arthropoda; Insecta; Coleoptera; Nitidulidae
Exons: 3
Source: RefSeq, a predicted model, not a curated record